GUGGGGAAUAUUGCACAAUGGGCGAAAGCCUGAUGCAGCGACGCCGCGUGAGCGAAGAAGUAUUUCGGUAUGUAAAGCUCUAUCAGCAGGGAAGAUAAUGACGGUACCUGUCUAAGAAGCACCGGCUAAAUACGUGCCAGCAGCCGCGGUAAUACGUAUGGUGCAAGCGUUAUCCGGAUUUACUGGGUGUACAGGGAGCGCAGGCGGUGCGGCAAGUCUGAUGUGAAAGCCCGGGGCUCAACCCCGGUACUGCAUUGGAAACUGUCGUACUAGAGUGUCGGAGGGGUAAGUGGAAUUCCUAGUGUAGCGGUGAAAUGCGUAGAUAUUAGGAGGAACACCAGUGGCGAAGGCGGCUUACUGGACGAUGACUGACGUUGAGGCUCGAAAGCGUGGGGAGCAAACAGGUUUAGAAACCCGAGUAGUCC
RNAcentral lists this ribosomal RNA (425 nucleotides) under uncultured bacterium. Its description in RNAcentral is "partial 16S ribosomal RNA". It matches the Rfam family "Bacterial small subunit ribosomal RNA", at positions 354 to 796 of the family's 1533-position model. The record is from RNAcentral.